Molecule: ribosomal RNA, 404 nt
Filed under: uncultured bacterium
Lineage: Bacteria
Description: bacterial SSU rRNA
Rfam family: Bacterial small subunit ribosomal RNA
Source: RNAcentral
UGGGGAAUUUUCCGCAAUGGGCGAAAGCCUGACGGAGCGACGCCGCGUGAGGGAUGACGUUCUUCGGAAUGUAAACCUCUGUCAGGGGGGACGAUGAUGACGGUACCCCCAAAGGAAGCAUCGGCUAACUACGUGCCAGCAGCCGCGGUAAGACGUAGGAUGCGAGCGUUGUUCGGAAUUAUUGGGCGUAAAGCGUGCGUAGGCGGCGCGUUAAGUCUGGUGUUAAAGCUAGGGGCUCAACCCCUGUGAUGCACUGGAAACUGGCGGGCUCGAGAACGGUAGGGGAAGGUGGAAUUCCCAGUGUAGCGGUGAAAUGCGUAGAUAUUGGGAAGAACACCGGUGGCGAAGGCGACCUUCUGGGCCGCUUCUGACGCUGAGGCACGAAAGCCUGGGGAGCGAACCGG